This 492-nucleotide ribosomal RNA is filed under the name uncultured bacterium. RNAcentral's name for it is "partial 16S ribosomal RNA". It matches the Rfam family "Bacterial small subunit ribosomal RNA", at positions 29 to 507 of the family's 1533-position model. The record is from RNAcentral.
AGUGAACGCUGGCGGUAGGCCUAACACAUGCAAGUCGAACGGCAGCACAGUAAGAGCUUGCGCUUACGGGUGGCGAGUGGCGGACGGGUGAGGAAUACAUCGGAAUCUACUUUUUCGUGGGGGAUAACGUAGGGAAACUUACGCUAAUACCGCAUACGCCCUACGGGUGAAAGCAGGGGAUCUUCGGACCUUGCGCGAUUGAAUGAGCCGAUGUCGGAUUAGCUAGUUGGCGGGGUAAAGGCCCACCAAGGCGACGAUCCGUAGCUGGUCUGAGAGGCUGAUCAGCCACACUGGAACUGAGACACGGUCCAGACUCCUACGGGAGGCAGCAGUGGGGAAUAUUGGACAAUGGGCGCAAGCCUGAUCCAGCCAUACCGCGUGGGUGACGAAGGCCUUCAGGUUGUAAAGCCCUUUUGUUGGGAAAGAAAAGCAGCAGGUUAAUACCCCGCUGUUCUGACGGUACCCAAAGAAUAAGCACCGGCUAACUUCGUG